AUUAAAAUAACCUAAUAAGACAAAUGAUAGCUUGUUUCAUUCUUUCUUCUUCAACCGUGGGAAAGAACUGAAAAUGGCAGCCAUGGAUGAGCUCCAUUCAGCCAAGCUUCUACGGAUUAUAUAGAUGAUGAAAAUUGAGACUUGGACCUAGAACGGAAAGAAAUCGAUUUAUGGACGAGUACGUCCUUUUCACAUUUGUGGUAUCGAGAGUUUCCAGGUUAGCUCGGGUUGGAGGCCGUCAGAGAUAUUAUCACCCUAUCGAGUUAACGUUAUCGGAGUAAGUAAACUCAAGUGAUUCGAGUCUAUGGCAUGUAUAGGGUUUUAAUGUGAGUAUGUAAUAUUAUGAUUUAGCCAAAGGCAUUGGCUUGUUAUUAAGGUAGUAUUAGUCAUGUAAAUUGGCCUAUGUCGGCUAAUGACAUUAUGGGCCCAUAUGAUUAUUCUUAUGCAUGUAUGUUAUUAUCUCUUGUAAUGUGGCUUACAACAUGUAUGCCUAGACAUUGAAUUGAGAUUCAUGGAUGAGCUAGUAACUAAUGCAGGAUUAAGUGAUUGGUAAAUAGUUAAUAA
Molecule: long non-coding RNA, 564 nt
Organism: Gossypium arboreum
Lineage: Eukaryota; Viridiplantae; Streptophyta; Magnoliopsida; Malvales; Malvaceae
Exons: 3
Source: RefSeq, a predicted model, not a curated record